GGCUCCAGCUUCACAGCGCGGGAAAGGCACUCUUGUGCUACGGCACUGAAGUCAGGAGCUACGUUCAGACACCUGCCCUUCUGCAGCAGAAACUCUGUUUUGUGUUUGAAAUGAUCUACGGGAAACAAAAGAGAUACAAAAACCUGCCAUACAAACUGGGAACAUGGUGAGAGGCUCACAGCUCUUCUCGUCUUCCGCCAUCUUUAGCUUCAGCAGCAGCAACAAGCCUGGAAGAAGCAGUCUGAGGAGAGUGCACCAAGUUACGAGAUGAGUAUUAAAUCUAUUGCUCUAAUGUUAAUGUGAUGAAGGAUGUAUUUACUGAAAUAGCACGAAUGCAAGGGGAUUUUAGCACAGAGGAAAUAAGGCUUUUAAUUUCGCUGACGCCGGAAGUUGGAGUAGUCAGUGCG
Long non-coding RNA from Sebastes umbrosus (honeycomb rockfish), 407 nucleotides. RefSeq lists it as uncharacterized. The transcript has 3 exons. NCBI's taxonomy places the organism in Eukaryota, Metazoa, Chordata, Actinopteri, Perciformes, Sebastidae. The record is from RefSeq and is a predicted model, not a curated record.